This 118-nucleotide ribosomal RNA is filed under the name Lepisosteus oculatus (spotted gar). The record is from RNAcentral. Lineage: Eukaryota; Metazoa; Chordata; Actinopteri; Semionotiformes; Lepisosteidae.
GCCAGCAGCCACAUCACCCUGCAGCUCACAACUGGCAACCUACUAAAGCUAAGCAGGUGUGAGCCUGGUCAGUACCUAAAUGGGAGACCUCCUGGGAAAGCUGAGGUUGCUGAAGGAA